AAUGUGUCAAGUGUGAGUAGUGUGGAUAAUAGUUCCACAUUGGUUGAUAAUAUGGACACUUGAGCAUUUAUAAGUGAGAGAACCCACACACCUAUCACCUUAAGGUUUUGGGUGAAUAUGUGGUGUGUUUCUCACAGGUGGCAUGCAAAUGGACAUACUCCAAAUUCAAUCAAUAAUUAAUCACAAAACAUCUCUAACAAAAAAAUUAUUUUAUUUUGCAUUUUUCAAAUGAUUUUGAUCACUAAAUUUUAG
RNAcentral lists this long non-coding RNA (252 nucleotides) under Lathyrus oleraceus (garden pea). Its description in RNAcentral is "Pisum sativum (pea) long non-coding RNA (PSAT_LNC016801)". Lineage: Eukaryota; Viridiplantae; Streptophyta; Magnoliopsida; Fabales; Fabaceae. The record is from RNAcentral.